GGGGGGUUAGCUCAGCUGGGAGAGCGUCUGGUUCGCAAUCAGAAGGUCGUGAGUUCGAUCCUCAUACCCUCCACCA
RNAcentral lists this transfer RNA (76 nucleotides) under Betaproteobacteria bacterium. RNAcentral's name for it is "tRNA-Ala". It matches the Rfam family "tRNA". From Rfam's summary of the family: Transfer RNA (tRNA) molecules are approximately 80 nucleotides in length. The record is from RNAcentral. RNAcentral also lists the same sequence under 1 other name. Lineage: Bacteria; Pseudomonadati; Pseudomonadota; Betaproteobacteria.